UUUCUAUUGGAGAGUUUGAUCCUGGCUCAGGACGAACGCUGGCGGCGUGCCUAAUACAUGCAAGUCGAGCGGACCGAAU
This 79-nucleotide ribosomal RNA is filed under the name Geobacillus sp. 46C-IIa. RNAcentral's name for it is "partial 16S ribosomal RNA". It matches the Rfam family "Bacterial small subunit ribosomal RNA", at positions 1 to 76 of the family's 1533-position model. Lineage: Bacteria; Bacillati; Bacillota; Bacilli; Caryophanales; Anoxybacillaceae. The record is from RNAcentral.